This is a long non-coding RNA of Cryptomeria japonica (Japanese cedar), 271 nucleotides long. RefSeq lists it as uncharacterized. The transcript is spliced from 3 exons. NCBI's taxonomy places the organism in Eukaryota, Viridiplantae, Streptophyta, Pinopsida, Cupressales, Cupressaceae. The record is from RefSeq and is a predicted model, not a curated record.
UUUUAAAUAAGCAAGCAAUGAUAACAAUACGCAUGACAUUGGAAUGCAACCUGUUAAUCGUGGAACACAACCUGGACAUGAAGGUCCAGAUGUGCAUUCCAAAAGUGGAGAGCAUGUAGUCGGUGGUGACCAAGUGGAGCAUGAUCCGGGUAGACAACAUCAGGAACGUGAUGUUCCCCAAUUAGAGGAUAUAGAGGGUGUUCAACAUGUUGAGGUUGAGGCUAGACAAAAUGAUGUGGAAGAUGAUGUCGCCCCAUCAGGUAAAGAGCGC